AAAUUGAAGAGUUUGAUCAUGGCUCAGAUUGAACGCUGGCGGCAGGCCUAACACAUGCAAGUCGAACGGUAACAGGAAACAGCUUGCUGUUUCGCUGACGAGUGGCGGACGGGUGAGUAAUGUCUGGGAAACUGCCUGAUGGAGGGGGAUAACUACUGGAAACGGUAGCUAAUACCGCAUAACGUCGCAAGACCAAAGAGGGGGACCUUCGGGCCUCUUGCCAUCGGAUGUGCCCAGAUGGGAUUAGCUAGUAGGUGGGGUAACGGCUCACCUAGGCGACGAUCCCUAGCUGGUCUGAGAGGAUGACCAGCCACACUGGAACUGAGACACGGUCCAGACUCCUACGGGAGGCAGCAGUGGGGAAUAUUGCACAAUGGGCGCAAGCCUGAUGCAGCCAUGCCGCGUGUAUGAAGAAGGCCUUCGGGUUGUAAAGUACUUUCAGCGGGGAGGAAGGGAGUAAAGUUAAUACCUUUGCUCAUUGACGUUACCCGCAGAAGAAGCACCGGCUAACUCCGUGCCAGCAGCCGCGGUAAUACGGAGGGUGCAAGCGUUAAUCGGAAUUACUGGGCGUAAAGCGCACGCAGGCGGUUUGUUAAGUCAGAUGUGAAAUCCCGGGCUCAACCUGGGAACUGCAUCUGAUACUGGCAAGCUUGAGUCUCGUAGAGGGGGGUAGAAUUCCAGGUGUAGCGGUGAAAUGCGUAGAGAUCUGGAGGAAUACCGGUGGCGAAGGCGGCCCCUGGACGAAGACUGACGCUCAGGUGCGAAAGCGUGGGGAGCAAACAGGAUUAGAUACCCCGGUAGUCCACGCCGUAAACGAUGUCGACUUGGAGGUUGUGCCCUUGAGGCGUGGCUUCCGGAGCUAACGCGUUAAGUCGACCGCCUGGGGAGUACGGCCGCAAGGUUAAAACUCAAAUGAAUUGACGGGGGCCCGCACAAGCGGUGGAGCAUGUGGUUUAAUUCGAUGCAACGCGAAGAACCUUACCUGGUCUUGACAUCCACGGAAGUUUUCAGAGAUGAGAAUGUGCCUUCGGGAACCGUGAGACAGGUGCUGCAUGGCUGUCGUCAGCUCGUGUUGUGAAAUGUUGGGUUAAGUCCCGCAACGAGCGCAACCCUUAUCCUUUGUUGCCAGCGGUCCGGCCGGGAACUCAAAGGAGACUGCCAGUGAUAAACUGGAGGAAGGUGGGGAUGACGUCAAGUCAUCAUGGCCCUUACGACCAGGGCUACACACGUGCUACAAUGGCGCAUACAAAGAGAAGCGACCUCGCGAGAGCAAGCGGACCUCAUAAAGUGCGUCGUAGUCCGGAUUGGAGUCUGCAACUCGACUCCAUGAAGUCGGAAUCGCUAGUAAUCGUGGAUCAGAAUGCCACGGUGAAUACGUUCCGGGCCUUGUACACACCGCCCGUCACACCAUGGGAGUGGGUUGCAAAAGAAGUAGGUAGCUUAACCUUCGGGAGGGCGCUUACCACUUUGUGAUUCAUGACUGGGGUGAAGUCGUAACAAGGUAACCGUAGGGGAACCUGCGGUUGGAUCACCUCCUUA
This 1539-nucleotide ribosomal RNA is filed under the name Escherichia coli. RNAcentral describes it as "bacterial SSU rRNA". It matches the Rfam family "Bacterial small subunit ribosomal RNA". Lineage: Bacteria; Pseudomonadati; Pseudomonadota; Gammaproteobacteria; Enterobacterales; Enterobacteriaceae. The record is from RNAcentral.